This is a long non-coding RNA of Cygnus atratus (black swan), 3211 nucleotides long. RefSeq lists it as uncharacterized. The transcript has 4 exons. Lineage: Eukaryota; Metazoa; Chordata; Aves; Anseriformes; Anatidae. The record is from RefSeq and is a predicted model, not a curated record.
CUCGCACAUCAGCGCUGCUCCGGGAAGCCCUGACUCCCGCUCUGCUUCCGCGCAUGCGCGGAGCCGGCCGGCUCGCCUAAGGAGGGGGAGCCGGGCAGCGCCGCAGGACCCCUGCCCGCGGCAAGAUAGCGGCGGCCUUCUCCGGAGCGGGAGCCGAGCCGGGACGGGACGCCGAGUUCACCAGGGCAGAAGCAGCUCCCCACCUCUAGGACCCCUGUGGGUUUUGUUGCCGAGCGAAGGUGGUGCACCGGGUUGAUUAGAGAAGUUGAGAUAAAGGAGGAAUAAAAUGUAAACAGAACAUUAUGUAUAGGACAGGAAACAGAUGUACGGACAAUAUAUUUUAAACAGGACGUUGGAGGAUGAUAUAUCUCCAACUGGACGUUGGAACCCAAGAUAAGGAAAUAAUUAGCAAAAACCAGACCUUGCGGUUAGGAAGAAAGCAAACUCAGCAGAAUCCUGACCAAGGGUGAAAAGUACACUGUGAGGAAGACUUAUGGCCUUCCUCUCUGAGACCACCACCCACAGCCCAACGACCACUGCCCAGAAUUGAUGAGAGGAUCUGCGCAGAUGCAGGACACAAAAAACUAAUUAGCAUGAGAAGUGAGAGUAGGCGGGGUUAGAUAAUGAAUAUGUAUAGGCAUUAAUAAAAUAUUUAUCACUGCUGUAUAAAUUUGGGACGGCUUUUCACUUCAGGUAUGCACGAUAGGUGGAGAGAUCCCCCGUGCAUCCCGCACUGCAAUUAAGAAUAUACCACUUAAAGAAAUCGGACUAUCGAUCUUUGAAUCAGGGUAAACCGAGAAAAGCUGCAGCUGGCGUGCUGCAGUCGCAGGUUUCCCAGGGGAAAGAGUAGCUCGUCUGUCCCGACUGUCCAGAAGAUGUCCCGGAUUUAAAGAUGAUGUAUAUUAAAUGAAGUAUGAGAAGAAACAGCUUCUUCCAACACUUGCGCUCCUUUUCUUCAGCUCGUGCAGAAGGCUGACAGCCUGUCUCACUCUCAUCAGUGCUAUCCCACGAGCUCCUUUAGGAGCUCAGCACCAUGUUUGGCCUGUUCCGAUCUCCCCGAUCUCCUCAUUUCUGUGCUGCAACACCACCAUCCACAAGAAGUCAGAGAGGAGAAAAGCUCUUUCCAGCGAGAUGGAGAAGGAAUUAAUUAUACCUCUGCCUCAUCCUGUGAGACCAGAAGACAUGGAGUAACUGUAAGCUGCGAUUCUCAGGAGACACUAAGAGUCUUGGGUUCCUUCUCUGCCUGCCUCCCAAGGCCUCAGGGAUGAGAAAUCUUAGGCUUUAUGUUUUUCCCUAUGAAAUACUGUCGUGUUAAGGGGCAUAGCUGACUAACUGUUACGGGUCUGGUCGGAUUCAGGUUACUGAACUAUCACGGUCACGGAUUCACCAAUAACGUAGCACAUCCUUGAUCUAGUCGCAUUCAAUGAGAACUAUCACGGCUAGGAACAAUGCAAUGAAGGGCAGUUUAUUACAGCAACCAGGGACACAGGUACUUUGGAUUGCCGGAGAUAAAUUCACUGUCUGCAAAAGCAAGCGAGCACGCAUGAAAUACACAGGUACUCGUCCUGGCUAUUAAUGUGUUAAAAGGCACAAAGGCUCUAGAGAUUUCUAAGUUUCCAUGGAGACACCUGCUACAGCCAAGUGUUCAAAUCUUACCCCACGACACCCCAAUGCAAGGGGAAGAGAGGCUCAGCCCGUCGACUGAUCCCGGAAGUCAGAAAGGUAUCCUUCGUGAUGGUAUCUUCCCUAACAUCCCCUUUCACUUAAGCCAAUUUACAUUGUCCACUGAUCUAUUCUCUUUAGUGACCAGUGAUAGGACCCACAGGAAUGGUGUCAAGCUGCGGCAGGAGAGGUUCAGGAAGAGGUUUUUCACUGAGAGGGUUGUCGUGCACUGGAACAGUCUCCCCAGGAAAGUAGUCACUGCACCAAGCCUGUCGGAGUUUAAGAAGCGUUUGGACUGUGCACUUAGUCACAUGGUCUGAAUUUUUGGGGUGACCUGUGUGGUGCCAGGAGUUGGACUUGAUGAUCCAUGUGGGUCCCUUCCAACUCGGGAUAUUCUAUGAUUCUAUGAUUAUUUUCUGUCCUUGUAGGUGGAGCUUGAGUGACUCUAGUCAGGCACAUCUUGGUUAUGAUUGGUAAAAAGUUAUCUCGCUUUUGUUUAAAGGAGAAAUUCAGAGCGCGUGCUCAGUGAGGGGUGGUCGCACCUUGGAGGCACGGAGCUUUUGGGAUGGAGGUGUGUUUUGAUAUUAUAAUGAUGACAUAAUGAGCAAAAGUUCAGUAGAGUACAGAGUUUUUCAAAAACAUGACAGGUCGUUGGCUCAGGGUAGCAAACGUGCAGCUUAUUGGUCUCGGUGUGCACAAGAGCAUCGGGUCUGCAUCUCGUCACAGAGCCUAUCUGUGGCGUCUCCACUCCACUCUACGCUCUGUACUGUUCCUUAGAGUCAGCACACCAAGUUCCCCUAGUGCGAUAGCAUGUGAAGUUGGAGGCCUAGGGAACGCUUAGGUAGCGCAGCUACCCUCCACCCUGAAAGCUUCUUCAAUGCUGUACAUUUUCUUUAAAAUGUGAAUAUUAGUUUAAUUUGCCUACUUACUUCAGGCAAUUAUUCCACAAGUACCAAAAGUGAUACUGAGAAGCCUAAUUCCAGCAUCUCUGUUGGUAAUAAUAGCUUCAUACUUCUGUGCUUAUCCUCGUAGCUUUUCCUUUCGCAUACUGGAAAGGCAGAGACUGUUCAACAGAGUCAUCCCUGAUCCAAAACUCUGAUUUCAUCCCAAACCAACACUCUCUGAUGUCAGUAAGAGUAAAAUUGCUAUUACUCUUGGUCAUCCUGGUCGUCGCAGUCGUGCCUCUGUUGGGCUCUCUGUCCAACCCUGUUGAUCACCCCUGUCCUGCUGCUUGCCCCCUGGGUGGUUUUUCUGGCCCUCUGCCCCGCUGGCUGUCCGUCCACCCAGUUCCUCUCUUGCUGCUUGUGUCCCGCUUGUGCCGUUUUCCUUUGUUUUUUUUCCUCCUUUCUGUGCAUCACAGCCCAUUUCCGCAGGAGGCAACCGUUCCCCAUGGGAUGGAUGCUGAGAGGGAUGGACAGACCUGCUCGAUGCCUGAGCCCUGCAGCACCCCAGGGGAAGGGGAGAACGUCCGGGCAGGGAGUUCCACCGCAGUCUCCCUGCCAGGAGUCCUGCGCAAGAGUUUAAUAAAGUUCGCUUUCUGGCUUGUGCU